RNAcentral lists this ribosomal RNA (497 nucleotides) under uncultured bacterium. Its description in RNAcentral is "partial 16S ribosomal RNA". It matches the Rfam family "Bacterial small subunit ribosomal RNA", at positions 28 to 507 of the family's 1533-position model. The record is from RNAcentral.
GAUGAACGCUGGCGGCGUGCCUAAUACAUGCAAGUCGAGCGAACAGACGAGGAGCUUGCUCCUCUGACGUUAGCGGCGGACGGGUGAGUAACACGUGGAUAACCUACCUAUAAGACUGGGAUAACUUCGGGAAACCGGAGCUAAUACCGGAUAAUAUAUUGAACCGCAUGGUUCAAUAGUGAAAGACGGUUUUGCUGUCACUUAUAGAUGGAUCCGCGCCGCAUUAGCUAGUUGGUAAGGUAACGGCUUACCAAGGCAACGAUGCGUAGCCGACCUGAGAGAGUGAUCGGCCACACUGGAACUGAGACGCGGUCAAGACUCCUACGGGAGGCAGCAGUAGGGAAUCUUCCGCAAUGGGCGAAAGCCUGACGGAGCAACGCCGCGUGAGUGAUGAAGGUCUUCGGAUCGUAAAACUCUGUUAUUAGGGAAGAACAAAUGUGUAAGUAACUAUGCCCGUCUUGACGGUACCUAAUCAGAAAGCCACGGCUAACUACGUG